This 272-nucleotide ribosomal RNA is filed under the name uncultured bacterium. RNAcentral describes it as "partial 16S ribosomal RNA". It matches the Rfam family "Bacterial small subunit ribosomal RNA", at positions 85 to 354 of the family's 1533-position model. The record is from RNAcentral.
CCGCCGGCGACCGGCGCACGGGUGAGUAACACGUAUGCAACCUGGCCGUGACAGAUGGAUAACCGGGAGAAAUCCCGCCUAAUACAACAUAAUGCCGGGAGGGGACAUCCCCUGCCGGCCAAAGGGGGCGACCCCGGUCACGGAUGGGCAUGCGGCGCAUUAGGUAGUUGGUGGGGCAACGGCCCACCAAGCCGACGAUGCGUAGGGGUUCUGAGAGGAAGGUCCCCACAUUGGAACUGAGACACGGUCCAAACUCCUACGGAAGGCAGCAG